UGUUUUGCAUCGAAGAACCAGGGACGUUUGAAGAAACGUUUUCUAACUUUAAACAAGGAUUUUAAAAACUGUUCAUGGUGUGAAGAGCCUCAGAUUUCUUAUAUAAGGCACUGUUUCGGUUAAACAAACCACCAGUCUUCUACAGACCACAACGUAAAAAUGAACAAGUCAGCACUUCUCCUUUUGCUCGUCAUCGGACUCCUCGUUCUCACUGAAACCACUAACGCCCUCUCGGGUCGUCGCAGAUGGCAUGGAUACAACCAAGAGUCAGCAAGUGUUGAAGAAAAUGAUGUAAUGAUGAAUGAAAUUAUU
Non-coding RNA from Ciona intestinalis (vase tunicate), 312 nucleotides. The record is from RefSeq and is a predicted model, not a curated record. Lineage: Eukaryota; Metazoa; Chordata; Ascidiacea; Phlebobranchia; Cionidae.